AUCCGAAAAGUUCAAUUCACUGGAUUCCAUCUUCUCCGCUCCACUGAUUUUCACCUUCCAUACCCAUUUGUGCCAUUUUAUCUUCUUCGGAUCAUUCAUUUCUCUCUUUCUCGGCAUGUUCCUUUCUUCUUUUUUUCCUUAUUUUUCUCUAUUCCGGCUACCUCACAGACAUGAUAUUUGCUUUAUGUUCUCCCUUUCUUCAUUUGUGAUAACAGGUUACGAGUUGCAAGAUUUGCUAACUUUUAUUCUCUAUGCAUGAAGAUUAUACUUCUGCGGCUAAAAAUUUAUGUGUGUAAGGAGCCUUAUGUACAAGGAGAAAAUGUUUAAUUUCCAAAGCCAGAACAAUUAGCAGGCCAAAUCAAGAGAAAGCGUUUUCAAAAUUUUCAACUUUCAAGACUUGAGGAAUUCAGACAGACAAGGGCGAUCUGUUGCAUGGACUCAGAACACUAAGAACAUCAUCGUGCUGACAGAUAUAUGCGACAUCGUACUAGAUAUGUACAAAUGUCCGCAGAGACAAACCAAUUAAUUUUAUCGCAACUGCAAGCUAAAAGAGCUGAAUCAAAAAAGAGGCUACAAUUGCAUCAUUCAAAUCAUGCACUAUCUUCUUCAAAAGUUGAUAGUCAAGCUGGAAAAUGAAGUGUGCUUGCAAUUUCUGUCCUUCAUUCGCUUCUGAGGAAGGUCAGAAAAGUAAUGAUUUACAGGUUGAUGAUUCAGAGCGCUAGGAUUCUCGUA
This is a long non-coding RNA of Nicotiana attenuata, 732 nucleotides long. RefSeq lists it as uncharacterized. The transcript is spliced from 3 exons. The record is from RefSeq and is a predicted model, not a curated record. NCBI's taxonomy places the organism in Eukaryota, Viridiplantae, Streptophyta, Magnoliopsida, Solanales, Solanaceae.